AUUUCUUAAAUGCAAUACAAAUUGCUAGGAGAAAGAGUAAAUUUACCUUGACAAUCGCCACCGCGAAUGAGGCAGGAAUAAAAGAAAAGGCUAUAGUGAUUACAACUGCAGCAGAGAAGGCGUCGAGAUCAUGAUGUUGCUGAUGCUGGCUUGCCGUCUGCGGCAAAGGGUGGUUACGAGUGUGAAUUGUCAUAUUCUCAUUUUGUGUAGCUAGCCUGAGUAUUGCUGAAUUCAUCAAAUUGAUAAAUGUAGGAGCAGAAUGCUGGCAAGUACUGUUGUAUAGAACAGUGUACCCAAGGCUCCCAUCACCACUCUGAUUAUCCAUGACUAUCGCUCCAUACCUUGACUGAUAAGAUUCGUUGAAGCUAGACAUCAGAUAUUCACUCAUUGAAAGUAGGACAGGGCCCAAAGUUGAUCCUGCUGCUUCUAUGGCGUCGUUCA
Molecule: unclassified non-coding RNA, 441 nt
Filed under: Hevea brasiliensis (rubber tree)
Lineage: Eukaryota; Viridiplantae; Streptophyta; Magnoliopsida; Malpighiales; Euphorbiaceae
Source: RNAcentral